AGAGUUUGAUCAUGGCUCAGAUUGAACGCUGGCGGCGUGCUUUACACAUGCAAGUCGAACGGCAGCAUGGGCUUCGGCCUGAUGGCGAGUGGCGAACGGGUGAGUAAUACAUCGGAACGUAUCUUUGAGUGGGGGAUACCGCAUCGAAAGAUGAGCUAAUACCGCAUAAGCUCUGAGGAGGAAAGGUGGGGACCAGAGAUGGCCUGUCGCUGAAAGGGCGGCCGAUGGCUGAUUAGCUAGUUGGUGGGGUAAAGGCUUACCAAGGCGAAGAUCAGUAGCUGUUCUGAGAGGAAGAUCAGCCACACUGGGACUGAGACACGGCCCAGACUCCUACGGGAGGCAGCAGUGGGGAAUAUUGGACAAUGGGGGCAACCCUGAUCCAGCAACGCCGCGUGAAUGAAGAAGGCCUUAGGGUUGUAAAGUUCUUUAGUCGCAGAGCAAAACGAUUAGCUAAAUAGGCUGAUUGGAUGAGAGUAUGCGAAGAAUAAGCACCGGCUAACUACGUGCUAGCAGCCGCGGUAAUACGUAGGGUGCGAGCGUUAAUCGGAAUUACUGGGCGUAAAGGGUGCGCAGGCGGAAGUUUAAGUUAGGAGUGAAACCCCCGGGCUCAACCUGGGGAGUGCUUUUAAGACUGGACAUCUAGAGUUUGUCAGAGGGGGGUGGAAUUCCAAGUGUAGCAGUGAAAUGCGUAGAGAUUUGGAGGAACACCGAUGGCGAAGGCAGCCCCCUGGGAUAGAACUGACGCUGAGGCACGAAAGCGUGGGUAGCAAACAGGAUUAGAUACCCUGGUAGUCCACGCCCUAAACGAUGUUUACUUGCUGUUGGGGGAGACCUUGGUAGCGAAGCUAACGCGAGAAGUAAACCGCCUGGGGAGUACGGUCGCAAGAUUAAAACUCAAAGGAAUUGACGG
Molecule: ribosomal RNA, 910 nt
Filed under: uncultured bacterium
Lineage: Bacteria
Description: bacterial SSU rRNA
Rfam family: Bacterial small subunit ribosomal RNA
Source: RNAcentral